This is a long non-coding RNA of Chinchilla lanigera (long-tailed chinchilla), 1199 nucleotides long. RefSeq lists it as uncharacterized. Lineage: Eukaryota; Metazoa; Chordata; Mammalia; Rodentia; Chinchillidae. The record is from RefSeq and is a predicted model, not a curated record. The transcript has 3 exons.
CUGCUACAUCAUUACUUUCUACCAAGGCUUCCUAGCCCUUUCAUAUCAUGGCACACAAAGGAAAUGACAAUAUUGGGAUGGUAAAAGUACGUUAAAUAGGGGCAGAAGCUUGUGGCUAGUGGGGGUUGCAAGGACUCUGGUGCCUCAGGCCCCGUCCUGAUGGCUGGAUAUGUCUGUGACUGCUCUCAAUACUCAUAAUUUGGUGCAAGACCUGGCCCUAAGAACCACUAUGGAUGCACUGUGAAUGGAAUGGUUCCCCUGAACUGUUCCUUUCAUGUUUAACUUCAGAUCUUUCUGUCCCCUUCCCUCUCAAGUCCAGCCCCACGGCAUCCCUGAAAAUCUGGAGACCAUAGACGGAAGUAUCCUCUCCCUUCCAGCCUUCCUAACACUCCAAAUAGACCUUUCUUGCCAAAUAAGUGGCCACACUUUCACAAAAUUAAUUUGUUUGAUAGAAGCAAUCUAAUUACACUUACAGUAAGCUGUGAAAGACUGACAUGCUAGUCACUCUUCUAGAAGGAUAAGGAGAUUUAAGUGAAAGGAGUGAGCCUUAUAAAUCCAAGAAAUCCAGUGACAUUGCCAGGUAAAGGAGAUGGCCUCCUUCUGCUACCUCCAUAAAUCCAGAUGAGGUACACUUUUAGGCUUAUGGGUUAUGUUUCACUACCUGAAAAUCUGGGAGCUCAGAGUGCCAAUAGUUUAUCGAAUGGUGAACACCUUCUCUGUACCUGGGACUACACUGUGUGUUGAGGAUACAAUGAUGUUGGGGAAGACAUGAACCUGUGUUAGAGCAGAACCUGGCAACUGGCUGAAUUUCAAGGAUGGGUAAAUUUUGCUCUGGAUUCAAUGCAGUCAGCCCCGGGCUGUGCUGACCAGAGCAGCAGAGUGGGACCCUGAGCUGACCAGGAGCUGACAUAGUCCGACCACCUCCAAGGACUUGUCUUUGGUCCGGGCACCUUCUUCUUGCUCAGGUUUCAGAUGCUACUCUCUUGCCUCUCCACUCCACAGCUACUACCACACGCUUUCCUCUGGGGCUCUGCUUUUCCCAGACUGGCUGCAGAAUAGCAGGCAACACCCACGCCUUCCCUGCAGGUCUACCUCACCCCUACACGCCGAAUCUACAAUUUUUUUCUCCUAUGUUAACCAUCACAAGGGAAACAGGGAUACAGGGUAAAAAUCAGGAAUCAAGUUGUGAAAGUUCACAA